Molecule: long non-coding RNA, 515 nt
Organism: Oryzias melastigma (Indian medaka)
Lineage: Eukaryota; Metazoa; Chordata; Actinopteri; Beloniformes; Adrianichthyidae
Exons: 3
Source: RefSeq, a predicted model, not a curated record
AGAACAUGACAAAAACAUGACAAAACCUAAGCAUAGAAUCAUGACACAUGGAUUUAGACUCCUAUGAAUUAUUGCAGGAUGACGAGGAACUGCUAUUGGGUCAGCACCACUGUUGACCCGGUUUCCUAGAGAGACUCAUCUUUGUUGAAUUUGUCCUGCUGUGCAUCACAAAGCUGAAAAAGGAAUGGACCUCUACUACUGCUCAGGAACAAGAGGGCUCUGCAUCCUCCUGACACAGCCAAGAACAAACAACCCCCACUACAGCAGAGCUCUCCAUGGCAGACAGAGCAGGGUGGUCACGUGAUGCGGCCUUCCUCUGGAAAUCUCUUCUCUCUGUCACUGCUGCAUGUCAGCUGUUUGGUCGCUCUCUAGUCUACAACGUGUUGGCUUCUUUUCUUGAUGUUCAUUGAUCUGCAUAGCAAAAACAUGGCUGACCUGACUCCCGUUCUUCAGUUUGUUCAAGACUCAAAAUGAACAGAGAUAUUCUGAUUAAAGUUAUGAGUUUCCAUUUGAGA